This is a long non-coding RNA of Brassica napus (rape), 660 nucleotides long. RefSeq lists it as uncharacterized. The record is from RefSeq and is a predicted model, not a curated record. NCBI's taxonomy places the organism in Eukaryota, Viridiplantae, Streptophyta, Magnoliopsida, Brassicales, Brassicaceae. The transcript is spliced from 3 exons.
UCCAUAAUCUGUAAGUUCUUUGUUGAGAUGAGUAUGAAUGGUUGGUUUUCGCUCUUUUUACAGCUUAUUGUGUGAAAAAACCAUAUUUUCUACUCUGGAUCAUUUCUUACAUCAAAAAAGCUAACCAAUAGAAAACGAAUAAAAGAUGACUGAGUUACAUUGUUACGGUGCCACAUCUAUGAUCUUCUUCCAAUUCUUGGUCAAACUCUUCUAGAGCAGACAUCUAUAUAAUUGUGGCUUGAGAUUGAAAUGAUACUCUUUUUCUGCAUGUAAUGAAGAAUUACAGUUUUUGGUGCUAACUCUGUUAAUAACUCUCAUGGGCAGAGCAGUUUCGUGGCAAGAGCUGGUACUGACAGAAAGCAAGUCGUUUUGCCCGUACUGUGUGAGAGUGAAAGAGCUUUUGAUUGUGCCCGACAAAGAGACGGUAACCAAACUGCACAGAGACGGUAAGUUGGUUCCUAUGUUGACUGAAGCUGGAUCUUUCACUGCACAAGCUUGAACAACUUCUGCUUAAUAAGCACAUCCAUUUGUGAUUUAAAGUUGUGGUUAUGUCGAAGUCGGUACUGAACUCUGAUACAUUUAUGAUUUAUAUUUAAAGUUCAACUAUAUUAACUUUGUCACAAUUAUCAACUAUUUAUUUUAUUUUAUUGAAUUGAUCAA